This 694-nucleotide long non-coding RNA is filed under the name Anas platyrhynchos platyrhynchos (common mallard). RNAcentral's name for it is "lncRNA (ENSAPLG00000031252.1)". Lineage: Eukaryota; Metazoa; Chordata; Aves; Anseriformes; Anatidae. The record is from RNAcentral.
GGGGUGGGCAGGGGCACCCAUGGGUGCUGGGGGGUGGGGGAGGGGGGGCACCCACCUUCUCGAAGUCGAUGGGGUACAUGCGGAAGCCGGGCAGCUCCUCGGGGCUGGGCAGCGAGGCCUUGAGCUCCUCCAGCCGCCCGUCGUCUGGGGGGACGGGGGGGGGGCACCCAUGGGACAGCAGCACCCAAGGGUGCCCCCGGAACGCCCGCAGACACCCCCACACCACCACCCCCCCACCCACCCCCGGGGGUCCUGCGCCCGUGGUCUGCUGCCCCCAUUGCACCCGUGGGUGCUAUGAACCCGUCUCCUGCCCCAUAGCACCCAUGGGUGCUACAGAACCUUAUCUCCAGCCCCACAGCACCCAUGGGUCCCCAACUCCACACCUCCAGCCCCACAGCACCCAUGGGUGCCCCAAACCCUAUCUCCUGCCCCAUAGCACCCAUGGGUGCCCAACUCCAUACCUCCAACCCCACAGCACCCAUGGGUGCCCCAACCCCUACCUCCUUCCCAUAGCACCCAUGGGUGCCCUAAACCUGUAUCUCCAGCCCCACAGCACCCAUGGGUGCCCCAACCCCUAUCUCCUGCCCCAUAGCACCCAUGGGUCCCCAACUCCAUACCUCCAAACCCAUAGCACCCAUGGGUGCCCCAACCCCUAUCUCCUUCCCAUAGCACCCAUGGGUGCCCUAAACCCACC